UUGGACCUGGGUAGUGGCGGACGGGUGAGUACACGUGGGAACGUGCCUUUAGGUUCGGAAUAACUCAGGGAAACUUGUGCUAAUACCGAAUGUGCCCUUCGGGGGAAAGAUUUAUCGCCUUUAGAGCGGCCCGCGUCUGAUUAGCUAGUUGGUGAGGUAAAGGCUCACCAAGGCGACGAUCAGUAGCUGGUCUGAGAGGAUGAUCAGCCACAUUGGGACUGAGACACGGCCCAAACUCCUACGGGAGGCAGCAGUGGGGAAUCUUGCGCAAUGGGCGAAAGCCUGACGCAGCCAUGCCGCGUGAAUGAUGAAGGUCUUAGGAUUGUAAAAUUCUUUCACCGGGGACGAUAAUGACGGUACCCGGAGAAGAAGCCCCGGCUAACUUCGCGCCAGCAGCCGCGGUAAUACGAAGGGGGCUAGCGUUGCUCGGAAUUACUGGGCGUAAAGGGAGCGUAGGCGGACAUUUAAGUCAGGGGUGAAAUCCCGGGGCUCAACCUCGGAAUUGCCUUUGAUACUGGGUGUCUUGAGUAUGAGAGAGGUGUGUGGAACUCCGAGUGUAGAGGUGAAAUUCGUAGAUAUUCGGAAGAACACCAGUGGCGAAGGCGACACACUGGCUCAUUACUGACGCUGAGGCUCGAAAGCGUGGGGAG
This 650-nucleotide ribosomal RNA is filed under the name uncultured bacterium. RNAcentral describes it as "bacterial SSU rRNA". It matches the Rfam family "Bacterial small subunit ribosomal RNA", at positions 82 to 768 of the family's 1533-position model. The record is from RNAcentral.